GUGUGUGUGUGUCUGGUGUGUGUGUGUGUGUGUGUGUUCUUCUGUUGGAGGUGUUCUAGAAACAGCAGCUCGGACUGUCAGAGCGGUCUGAUUGGUGAGGGGGGGGGGGGGGAAAACUUAGCUGUUAUUGGCAGAGAGAUUUCAAACCUCUCUUAUUGGUCUAUUAACCUAAUUAUGAUGUCACAAGGCAGGCCAAAAAAACUCCGCCCCAACCAAAAAACAGGAUUGAAAUUUCAGAGGGGUCUUUUCAAAUAACUCUUCCCACUAAAAUGACAUUAUCAAUUUCACAGUAUUAUUCCAACCUCAUAGCGUGGAAAUAUAUCAAUCACAGGAACGUUUUUUCACUGCCCUGGGCCUUUAAAAGAAGUUUAAUAAAAAAGUGACGAAUGUAAUAUUGUGUGGUAAAAAAAAAAAUGUUCUGUUGAAUUCUGUGUAAUUAUGAAUUUUGAUUUAAAAGAGAUGUUUUGAUUUGUAAAAUUCAUUUGAUCUGAAUUGAGAUGGAGAAAUAAAAAAAUAAAACGUUGAUUACCCCUAAAAAAAAUACUGAAAGGUUGAAUAAAAUGACAGAUAAAACUCGGUUCUGUUAUACUGCAGGUCUUUAUGUUCAGAUAAAAGGGGAGGUUUCCUUUAUGUUCAGAUAAAAGGGGAGGUUUCCUUUAUGUCCAGAUAAAAGGGGAGGUUUCCUUUAUGUUCAGAUAAAAGGGGAGGUUUCCUUUAUGUUCAGAUAAAAGGGGAGGUUUCCUUUAUGUCCAGAUAAAAGGGGAGGUUUCCUUUAUGUCCAGAUAAAAGGGGAGGUUUCCUUUAUGUCCAGAUAAAAGGGGAGGUUUCCUUUAUGUCCAGAUAAAAGGGGAGGUUUCCUUUAUGUUCAGAUAAAAGGGGAGGUUUUCCUUUAUGUUCAGAUAAAAGGGGAGGUUUCAGUAUGCAGAUCAGGGACGAUAUACAGGACCAGUCAAAAUGUUGGACAACACCAACUCAAUCCAGGGUUUUUAUUUUAAUUGUAUUUUUCUACAUUGUAGAAUAAUAGUGACGACAUCAAAACUAUGAAAACAACCCCUAUUAAUAUAGAAUGUUCUCUGGGUUUAAUAGACAUAUUAAAAGAUUAGUCAUAUAACUUUUUUUAAAAUUAUUAUAAUUAUUAUUCCCUUUAAUGUGGCAUGAAACAGAACCAGUCCUGUUUUCAGCUGAUUGUCUAACAAUCCCUUCCCGAAAGAGAUCUGUCACACAAAACUAAAAACUAAAAAAGUGUGAUGUCAUUCAGUGAUUGUCAUUCGUAACCAUUCGGCUUGUAGCCUGAAUUGAUGCGUCCACUGCUGUAAACGCGCG
RNAcentral lists this long non-coding RNA (1323 nucleotides) under Salmo salar (Atlantic salmon). Its description in RNAcentral is "lncRNA (ENSSSAG00000096773.1)". The record is from RNAcentral. Lineage: Eukaryota; Metazoa; Chordata; Actinopteri; Salmoniformes; Salmonidae.